CCCGCACGCGCCUGAAGCCGACCCCGCGGCGACAGCGCAUGCGCGGCGUCGUCUCCGGAGCAACGCGGCGUCGCCGCGGAGUGACGUCAUCACGCUGCGACCCGAGGAGCCGGCCGGGCGGCAGCGGGGCGGGGCGGCCCCGGGGCUCCGAGCGCCGCCUCAGCUUCUGCGACCUCCCUUUUCCCCACUUAGAAUCGUGCAGAAGGAUCUGGAGACGUCCUAGAGAGGUUUGGGGGCAUCCAGGGGGUUCUGGACUCAUGCAGAAGAGUCUGGAGAUGUCCAAGGAGGAUCCAGGGAGUUCCCACGCCUGCCUGCAGCCGGACCCGGUGACACCGGAGCCCUCUGGCGCUGUCACCAUCCUCUGUCCCGAGGACGGGAGGUGAACUGUGUGCCACCAGCAGAGGGGACCACGGGUGACAUCAGUGUGGAACAGCCGUGACGCGGCGGCGUUGUCAUUGGGUGUCACCGUCACGCAGAGGGGACAAAAGGACCCCCCUGGGGGCAUUGCGUCGAAGUUGGGGACACCGUGAGCAGCUUGAGGACUUCCCAGGGGAAGUGGGGGCACCGCGUCACCGUGUCACACCCCAAAGUUGGGGACACCUCUGUGUCACCCCAAUGGUGUCCGACCCAAAGCUGGGGACACUCCACAGUGUCACACCCCAAAGUUGGGGACGCCCCGACAGUGUCACAUCUCAAAUUUGGGACAGCUCUGUGUCCCCCCAAUGGUGUCAGACCCCAAAGUUGGGGACGCCCCCACAGUGUCACAGCCCAAAGUUGGGGUCUGUCCCAGAGGUGGGAGUGCCCCCACAUCCCCACCAUGGCGUCACAUCCCAAAGUUGGGGACCCCCAUCUGGGGACCCAUUCUGUGCUCCCCCAAUUGCAGACAGCACUGUUCCCAUGGGGUGGGGGCGGGGGGCACCCUUUAUUUUUGGGAUUAAGGUUUAUUUCAUGAUAACGGGGGGUUGGGGAAUGCCCCCCCAUGUGAAUAAAGGGCGGAGGAGCGGCUGUGGGGCUCCGUGUGUAACACCGGGGGGUGCUUUGGGGACACUGCAGCAUCCCAGCCCCAUAGCCCCCAUGGCCCUAUAACCACUACAGCCCCAUCUCGUAGCCAUCCCAUAUCCAUAUCCCAUCCCAUAUCCCAUCCUGUAUCCAUAACCCUUCCAAUAUCCAAACCACCAUAUCCGUCCCACACCCAUAGCCCAAAUCCAUCCCAUAUCCGUAUCCCAAAUCCAUCCCGUAUCCAUACCCCAUCCCAUAUCCGUAUCCCAUCCCAUAUCUCAUCCCCUAUCCAUAUCCCAUCCCAACUCCAUGCCAAAUCUCUUUCUAUAUCCACAUCACCUUAUCCAUCCCAUAACCAUCCCAAAUCCAUCUCAAAUCCAUAUCUCAUCCCAGACCGAUCCCAUCUCCUUAUCCAUCCCGUAUCAAUGUCCCAUCCCUUAUCCAAUCCCAUACCCCAUCCUACAGCCAUCCCACAUCCAUACCCGCACAUCCCAUAUCCUAUCCCCAUCCUGUACCCCAUGUCCCAUAUCCAUUUCCAUCCCACAGCCUUCCCGAAUCCAUAUCCCCGCAUCCAUCCCGUGUCCACCCCAUAUCCAUUCCGUAUACUUAUCCCAUCCUAUGAUCAUCCCAAUCCCAUCCCAUAUCCAUAUCCCAUCCCAACUCCACCCCAUAUCGUUCCCAUACCUUUGCCAAGUCUGUCCCGUACCCGUAUACCCACUUCCCGCAUCCCAUUCCCAAUCCCAACCCCAAUCCCAAUCCCAAUCCCACACCUCAUUCCCAAUCCCACAUGCGAAUCCCGUAUCCCGCAUCCCAAUCCCUAUCCCGAAUCCCAAUGCCAAUCCCACAUCCCAGCCCCAUGUACUGUGUGUCAAUCUAUCGCAAUCCCAACUCUCAUAUCGCAGUCCUAACCCCAAUCCCACACCCCAAUCCCAAUCCCAAUGCCAUCCCCUAUUGCAAUAGGGCACACUCCGGGCCCCUCCCGCAGCUCCGUCCCGCCCCCAUCUUCUCAUUGGCUGAGGUGCAGCUCCGUCCCGCCCCCGGCCUCUCAUUGGUCAGGUGCAGCUCCGUCCCGGCCCCGGCCUCUCAUUGGCUGAGCCGCAGUUCCAUCCUGCCUCCAGCCUCUCAUUGGUCAGGUUCAGCUCCGUCCCGCCGCCGGCCUCUCAUUGGCUGAGGCGCAGCCCAGUCCCGCCCCCAUCCUCUCAUUGCUCAGCGGCAGCGCCGCCGGCUCCCAUUGGCUGAGGCGCAGCGCGCGGGAGCGGCCGUUGGCAGCCGGCUCGGGCCCGCCCGGCUCUCCCCUCAGCCGGCGUCGCUCCGCAGCCCGGGCCGCCCCGCACGGCACCGCCGACGGAACAGCACCGGGACGGAACCGCGGCACGACGGGAGCGGUGCUGAGCUCUGCGGUACCGGGGGGAGGGGGUGUGGGGUUUGGAGGGGGCGGAGUGAGUGCAGCCCCGGGACAGGAAAGGAACCCUGUGCGGCCAUAAUCCACCUCCCUGUGGGGUUGGGAAAUGGGUGUGGGAUUGGGGUUCGGAUGUGGGAUAUGGAAUUAGGGCUGUGGGAUCGGGAUUAUGGUGUGGGAUUGGAAGGUGGGGUUGGGGUUGGGAUAAGGUCUGGGAUAUGGGAUUAGGGAUAUCGAUUGAGAUUGGGAUGUGGGAUUGGGAUGUGGGGUAUAGGAUUCGGGGUGUGGGAUUGGGAUUUGCAUUGGGAUGGGGGCUGUGAGGUUGGGGUUGAGGUUGGGGUCGGGAUAUAGGAUUAGUGAAUUGGUAUUGGCAUUCCCAUUGGGAUGGGGGCUGUGGGACCGGGAUGGGGGCUGUUGGCCUGGAUGUUGGGUUGGGAUCGAGGUUAGGAUGUGGGAGAUAGGAUGAGGGGUGUGGGAUUGGGAUUUGCAUUGGGAUGUGGAAUGUGGGGCCGGGAUGUGGUCUGUUGGGGUGGGAUGUGGAAUGUGGGGCCGGGUUGGGGGUUGGGAUUGAGGUCGGGAUGUGGGACGUAAAGAAACGUGCCCUGUUCACAGGUGGGGCGUGUGGUGUUGUGGGGAAGCGGCGCAGAUGGAAAGCUGCCGUGUGGAGCCCCACAGGACGAGUUGCAGAGGCCCCUGAAGGAAAAGGAGAAGGAAGGGCAUUUGCAGAGGGACAGGCUGUCCCGCUGGCCUUAGGUGUUGCUGAACGGGAGGGGUGGCCAAUGCUUUCUCUUUCCACUGCCUCACGGAUGGUGGCAAAUGCCUUCUGGGGGUGGUUCCAGCAGUGGGAAGAAAACAGCUGGCAGCGGAGGGGUAAACCUCUUUGGGCUGCUGAGCUGUGUGCUGAACCAUAAGGAAGGUGGCUGUAAAGGUGUGCCGUGCAGAUGUCGUGUGCCCAGCAGUCGGGCCGAUGAAGAGCAACAAAUGAAGCGCCAGCAGCCGCUUAUGAAGUAUCCGUUGCUGGGUCAUGGAGUCUGCCCACUUGCCCAGGGCACGGGAAGACCGAAUUCCCAGGACAAGAGCCAGAACCAAUGUCCCCAGCAACAGUAGCACUUGUGUUACAAAUGGAAUUCCACAAACAAUAUUUAAUACUUUUAUUACAGACGCACUUAACAGUUACAAAGAUAAGAACAACGACACAGUUCCUAUCCGGAAAAGAAUGAAAAUCGGUUCUGGCAUUUGCCCACCCUGUCUGACCAG
Molecule: long non-coding RNA, 3655 nt
Filed under: Gallus gallus (chicken)
Lineage: Eukaryota; Metazoa; Chordata; Aves; Galliformes; Phasianidae
Description: lncRNA (ENSGALG00010000771.1)
Source: RNAcentral